Molecule: ribosomal RNA, 632 nt
Filed under: Lacticaseibacillus rhamnosus
Lineage: Bacteria; Bacillati; Bacillota; Bacilli; Lactobacillales; Lactobacillaceae
Description: bacterial SSU rRNA
Rfam family: Bacterial small subunit ribosomal RNA
Source: RNAcentral
AGUCUGAUGGAGCAACGCCGCGUGAGUGAAGAAGGCUUUCGGGUCGUAAAACUCUGUUGUUGGAGAAGUAUGGUCGGCAGAGUAACUGUUGUCGGCGUGACGGUAUCCAACCAGAAAGCCACGGCUAACUACGUGCCAGCAGCCGCGGUAAUACGUAGGUGGCAAGCGUUAUCCGGAUUUAUUGGGCGUAAAGCGAGCGCAGGCGGUUUUUUAAGUCUGAUGUGAAAGCCCUCGGCUUAACCGAGGAAGUGCAUCGGAAACUGGGAAACUUGAGUGCAGAAGAGGACAGUGGAACUCCAUGUGUAGCGGUGAAAUGCGUAGAUAUAUGGAAGAACACCAGUGGCGAAGGCGGCUGUCUGGUCUGUAACUGACGCUGAGGCUCGAAAGCAUGGGUAGCGAACAGGAUUAGAUACCCUGGUAGUCCAUGCCGUAAACGAUGAAUGCUAGGUGUUGGAGGGUUUCCGCCCUUCAGUGCCGCAGCUAACGCAUUAAGCAUUCCGCCUGGGGAGUACGACCGCAAGGUUGAAACUCAAAGGAAUUGACGGGGGCCCGCACAAGCGGUGGAGCAUGUGGUUUAAUUCGAAGCAACGCGAAGAACCUUACCAGGUCUUGACAUCUUUUGAUCACCUGAG